Molecule: ribosomal RNA, 726 nt
Filed under: Triticum aestivum (bread wheat)
Lineage: Eukaryota; Viridiplantae; Streptophyta; Magnoliopsida; Poales; Poaceae
Description: partial small subunit ribosomal RNA
Source: RNAcentral
AUGUUACUCGUGCUUCUACUAUUGUGCAUGCCUCUGCUACUUGGCUCCCGCACGCAGCCGCUGGACGCGAGCUGCGCGCCGGCGGCGUGCGGCAACCUGACCAUCACAUGCCUGUUCUGGCUGCUCGGCCACCACGAACCGAGCUGCGGCUACCCAACCUUCGGUAUCACGUGCGACGACCCCACCGGCGCCACGGUGCCCUCCCUCAGCAAGUCCUACCUCCGCCUCCUCGACAUCCGCUACGGCAACCGCUCCGUGGUGGCCUUCCACAGCGGCCUCGUCGCCGGCAGCGAUGACCCCUGCGGCGCGACGCGGUUCAACGUGUGCAACAGCCUCGCACUCUCGCCGCUGGCCGUCAGCGGCGCCAAUUGGGAGCUCUUCUUCUGCAACAACUGCUCGCGUGCGCCGCCGCCGCCCGUAGGGGCACUCUGGUUGCCCAACAACUGCUCCAGCACCACCGACGCCUGGUCCGUGCACAUAGGGCGGAGGUACGAGACCCGGCCGGUGGGGCCGGCGGAGUGCAAGUACUCGGUCGUCCCGGUGCUGCCCGGCUCGGAGCUGCGGGCGUGGGACAACUACGUGGGGAUCGUCGGGCGCGGGUUCCUGCUGGAGUGGACGGUGCCCGGGGACUGCGCUGGUAUGAAGCCGGCGCCAACGCCCUAUGUAAACAAUUUGGCAUCUUUCAGGGUUUGUUUGCUAUAUUUAAGCCAUUUAGUGCAUUUCUAG